RNAcentral lists this unclassified non-coding RNA (297 nucleotides) under Hevea brasiliensis (rubber tree). The record is from RNAcentral. Lineage: Eukaryota; Viridiplantae; Streptophyta; Magnoliopsida; Malpighiales; Euphorbiaceae.
AGUAGCAACCCUUACUUCAGCUUGGCAUUGGUUUUAUAUUGUGCUGAAACUUAUUUGAACAAUAUAACACACAAAUGGAAAAGACAUGCAGUUUUAACUAUUUGGGUUAACUAAAUUAGUCAAGUCUAUGAACUACUAUGUAUUCGACUAUUAAGUUAUUAGAUGGUGCGCAGCUGAUUAAGUGAAAUGAAGCACAUGGCAAAUAAAAAGAAGCUUAGUUUAAUUAAAAUGGUGUGCAGCAGUGAAGCAAUCAAACGUGAGGAGCUUUCCCGUGCACGUGCUCGGUUGUUAGGCCAG